GGGGUAUAAGGUAACUUGACUUUUAAUCAAGUUGUCCGGGGUUCGAAUCCCCGAUGCUUCA
Molecule: transfer RNA, 61 nt
Filed under: Wansuia hejianensis
Lineage: Bacteria; Bacillati; Bacillota; Clostridia; Lachnospirales; Lachnospiraceae
Also listed under: 1 other name
Description: tRNA-OTHER
Rfam family: tRNA
About the family: Transfer RNA (tRNA) molecules are approximately 80 nucleotides in length. Their secondary structure includes four short double-helical elements and three loops (D, anti-codon, and T loops). Further hydrogen bonds mediate the characteristic L-shaped molecular structure. tRNAs have two regions of fundamental functional importance: the anti-codon, which is responsible for specific mRNA codon recognition, and the 3' end, to which the tRNAs corresponding amino acid is attached (by aminoacyl-tRNA synthetases). tRNAs cope with the degeneracy of the genetic code in two manners: having more than one tRNA (with a specific anti-codon) for a particular amino acid; and 'wobble' base-pairing, i.e. permitting non-standard base-pairing at the 3rd anti-codon position.
Source: RNAcentral